UUGGUGAUUCACAGUUAGUAAUCAAGUAGGUUAACGGGGAAUACUGAUGUGAGAAUCCGAAUUUGCAAAAUUAUUUGAGGAAGACAAUAGAAUUAUUAUGCAAUUUCGGAGAAGCCGAAUUUGAACAUUUGAGCAGACAGGAAAAUGAAAAGGCAAAUGAAUUGGCCCAAUCGGCUUUAGGAUACAGAGAGCCGAAGUCAGAAUUAAUAGUAAUACAGAGGAGAUUACUACCUUCGGUUCAUAUACGAGAACCGAUUAUAGCUCCUAUAGAAGUGAAAGAAGAUUGGAGAAAAUCAUUGAUCAAAUAUUUGGAGGAUCCUAAUAUAAGGGUUGAUUAUA
Molecule: long non-coding RNA, 339 nt
Filed under: Ananas comosus (pineapple)
Lineage: Eukaryota; Viridiplantae; Streptophyta; Magnoliopsida; Poales; Bromeliaceae
Description: long non-coding RNA (ACOM_LNC029744)
Source: RNAcentral